CCCACAUAGAUGUCUGAGGAGAUUUAAAGCUCCUUUAUAUUUAUCAAUUAUUUUACUGACAGGUGCUUCCCCAUCAGCUUAUUAUUCAUCCACAUACUGAGAAAUCUUACCACUGACACUUCCUCGAGACAUUAAUCCCAUAAGUUAAAAUCAAGUGCAAGUCUAUUAAUGCUGUUUGUAAACCACGUAAUGUGUUUUAACGACUGAAAGCUUACAAUCCUCAUCAAUCUGCCCACUGUUUGAUCUAUUAAUUGUAAAUUGCAGUUAAUACCUCAAAUCCAUAAAGCUAAGUCAUCUGUAUAUUGUGAUUUACCCAGGGAAUCCCAUUUUCCCAUCUCACAGAAAAUAUCAUUAAUCAUAAUAUUAAAUAAUGAAGGGCUACAAAUACUGCCUUGUGGGAUUCCAUUCUCUAUCUCAUAGACACAAACAUGCCGACCGUUACUUGGACAGUCCAUACAAAAAAAAACUCAGAAAAAAAUACAAUGACCCCCUUACUCCUAAUUUAAUCAAAAGUCCUUUCUUCCAUAUCAUUUCCCUUUUCAGUCUCAAUACUGCUAUUACAACAUCUUUAUUUAAUUGUGCUUUCCGAAUAUCAUCUUCCAAACCUAAAACUGAAUCUAAUGUCAUUUCACACUUCCAAAAUCCACUCUAAUAAAACACUUUAUCACCACUCUUUCCAAAAUAUAACUCAAGCGCUUGAUUACCAUACAUUCCAUAAGUUUACAUAAAUGAGACUUUCACGAUAUAGGCCCUUAACUAGAAGGAUCAAAUGGGGAUCUACCAGGUUUUCAGGCACUACUAUUUCCAUUUUCCAUGAGGAAAGUGGAUGCACAAUUCAAAUAUUUAAUAUUUUACAAAUGCAAAUUAUAUACAAUUACAAUUUCAAAUAUCACUCUUUCCUGGAGACACCUGACCUGCAUUAUUAAUAGACUUCUUCAAUUCAUACAAAGAAAUCUCUCCAUCUGUGAUACUAUCAUUGCUGCAGCAGACUUCCAACACAUCAGGGUAUUCACUGAAAAAACAUAUCCCUACAUUGUUUAACUUCUUCACUUAAAUUAUCCUGAUUAUGAAUCUCAUCAAAUGACCCAGCCAGUAACACAACCUUCCCUGUUUCAGUAACAAUCAUUUUGCCCUCAAUAAUCAACACUGGAAUAUUAUGAUCCCCACAAAUCCCCCCAUUUUCUAAAUCAUAUCCCAAACAAUUCCAAGUUUGAUAUCCCUUCCAAUAUUAUCUCCAUAUAACCUCCAGUAAAUCACCUCCUUCCUCACCACGGCCUUGGCCCUUUUAUUGUUAAUAAUGUAACUCGGAGACUGAUGCACCAUCACAUAAAAACUCACAUUUCUCCCAAUUUGCUUCCUGUCCCGUUAUAAAUCCAAAUCCAAACUCAUAAAGACAGGAAGGCUGACUGACGUUCACAUAAACUAAUCACCCUCCGAGUUCCCAUUUGAGCGACAGGCACUGCAGCCAAUGACAGCAGGCGUCAGUGUUAGGUCUGAGCUGCGAUAGGCUGGAGGAAAUCGGCCCAUGACCAGCCCCUCCUCUUCCGCUCCGUCGCCAUGGCGGAGAUCAGCGAGUCGCUUCUGUCGUUGUCGCCGGCCUCGGCGCCCACAAGGACGGGUGUGAUUCCCCUUCGCGCCUCGGUGGGUCUGUUUCGGUGGCGUCUGUGGUGGCUGACAAAACAUGCUUCGACAGGGAGCGAGCGAGGAACAAUGACUACAACUCCCAGAAGGCCCCACUGAUGACGUUGUGGUGUUGUUUAGGGGCCUUUAAAAAGGUGGCAGACAUGAGGCUGUUUAACACGCUACGAGCCCAUGGUAUUACAGAAAGAGCCCAGCACAGAUAAAGCAGUGGCUGAUUGACAGGAGGCAGAAUGUGUGAAUAAAUGGAGCGUUUUC
This is a long non-coding RNA of Hypanus sabinus (Atlantic stingray), 1896 nucleotides long. RefSeq lists it as uncharacterized. NCBI's taxonomy places the organism in Eukaryota, Metazoa, Chordata, Chondrichthyes, Myliobatiformes, Dasyatidae. The transcript is spliced from 2 exons. The record is from RefSeq and is a predicted model, not a curated record.